UACGGAGGGUGCAAGCGUUAUCCGGAUUCACUGGGUUUAAAGGGUGCGUAGGCGGGUAGGUAAGUCAGUGGUGAAAUCUCGGAGCUUAACUCCGAAACUGCCAUUGAUACUAUUUAUCUUGAAUAUUGUGGAGGUUUGCGGAAUAUGUCAUGUAGCGGUGAAAUGCUUAGAUAUGACAUAGAACACCUAUUGCGAAGGCAGCAGGCUACACAUAUAUUGACGCUGAGGCACGAAAGCGUGGGGAUCAAACAGG
RNAcentral lists this ribosomal RNA (253 nucleotides) under uncultured bacterium. RNAcentral's name for it is "partial 16S ribosomal RNA". It matches the Rfam family "Bacterial small subunit ribosomal RNA", at positions 524 to 776 of the family's 1533-position model. The record is from RNAcentral.